RNAcentral lists this ribosomal RNA (589 nucleotides) under Henosepilachna sp. NK-5. RNAcentral describes it as "partial 16S ribosomal RNA". The record is from RNAcentral. Lineage: Eukaryota; Metazoa; Arthropoda; Insecta; Coleoptera; Coccinellidae.
UUUUUAAUAUAAUAUUUGAUCCUUUCGUACUAAAAUAUUUUUUAUAUUUAAGAUAGAAACCAACCUGGCUUACACCGGUUUAAACUCAGAUCAUGUAAAAUUUUAAAGGUCGAACAGACCUAAUAUUUUAGCUUCUCCGCCAAAAAUAAAUUUUAAUCCAACAUCGAGGUCGCAAACCCUUUUUUCAAUAAGAACUAUUAAAAGGAUUACGCUGUUAUCCCUAAGGUAAUUUAUUCUUUUAAUCAUUUAGAUGGAUCAAAAACUCAAUUAUCAUUGUUAUCAUAUAAAAAAAGUUAAUUUUAUUUUUUUGUCACCCCAACAAAACUUAGACUAAUUUAUAAAAAUAAAAUUCUAAAAUUAUUAAAAUAGUUCUUAGUUAAACUCUAUAGGGUCUUCUCGUCUUUAAACUUUAUUUAAGCUUUUUAACUUAAAAAUAAAAUUCUAAUUUUAAAUUUGAAACAGUAAUUUUCUCAUCAAACCAUUCAUACAAGCUUUCAAUUAAAAAACUAAUGAUUAUGCUACCUUUGCACAGUCAAAAUACUGCGGCCCUUCAAACUUCAGUGGGCAGGCCAAACUUUAAAUUAAAUUC